ACUGGCACUGAUCGAAGCCAUUUCAGUUUCUGUAGCUGACGUGGUCAAAAAGGUGCCAAUAGUGACACUUUUCACGACGGUCGCUGCUCCGUUUCAAUGAGUAACGGAGAAGCAACAUUACGGGAAAGGACAAAC
Small nucleolar RNA from Polyodon spathula (Mississippi paddlefish), 135 nucleotides. NCBI's taxonomy places the organism in Eukaryota, Metazoa, Chordata, Actinopteri, Acipenseriformes, Polyodontidae. The record is from RefSeq and is a predicted model, not a curated record.